This is a long non-coding RNA of Dreissena polymorpha, 619 nucleotides long. RefSeq lists it as uncharacterized. The record is from RefSeq and is a predicted model, not a curated record. Lineage: Eukaryota; Metazoa; Mollusca; Bivalvia; Myida; Dreissenidae. The transcript is spliced from 2 exons.
ACGAUAUCUUACACGCCAGUAUGCAUAUGGUUGUUAAUAAUAACACAUGGAAUUAAGUACGUGUACGUGUUUUAUUGUAGUGCAUUUAUUUUACUCUACACAUACAAAUGGUGAAAUCUAAAUAAAGUAGAUGUUUUCGAACUGAUUUAGUAUUGAAAGGGAAUUUAUUGUAAAUGAAACAAGGAUAGGAUUACAGACCACAGGUCAUGCCAUGAGUGUAGUGGAAACGCAGCCGAACUCGAAAACGACCGAGGCAGACCAAAUAUCCUACGUUGAUAGUGACACGCAUGCGCGCGAAUACUGUUGUUGUCUGCACGGUUGGGGAACGGGCCCCGAUCCCCGAUGGUACUAUCCCUGGGACAAAGGCAUUUACCGGAUGUUCGGGGUGUGCUGCAUGUGGUAUUGCGUCUGUUUCGCAGCACCGUGCGUCCUUUGCAAAAAAGAAUUCAGAGACAUCAUAUUUUGCGCAGAUCAGAUGGGCAACAGACCGGAAGUUCGGCAUCGGGAUGCGUCAGAUGAGAUUGCGGAAGCGUAGCAGAUAAACUGUUUUCUCCGCGAAAACGUAAUAUUUCAAACAUGUUGUUAUUUAUGUGUUUUACCAAUGAAGACUGUUAUAUAA